This 304-nucleotide ribosomal RNA is filed under the name uncultured bacterium. RNAcentral's name for it is "bacterial SSU rRNA". It matches the Rfam family "Bacterial small subunit ribosomal RNA", at positions 28 to 334 of the family's 1533-position model. The record is from RNAcentral.
GACGAACGCUGGCGGCGUGCUUCAUACAUGCAAGUCGAACGAGAAGCAAGAGCUUGCUCUUGUGGAAAGUGGCGGACGGGUGAGUAACACGUAGGAAAUCUGCCCUUUAGCGGGGGACAACAGUUGGAAACGACUGCUAAUACCCCAUAUGAGCUAAGUUGAAAUACUUAUCUUGAAAACUCCGGUGCUAAAGGAUGAGCCUGCGCCUGAUUAGCUAGUUGGCGGGGUAAAUGCCCACCAAGGCUAUGAUCAGUAGCUGGUUUGAGAGGAUGAUCAGCCACAAUGGGACUGAGACACGGCCCAU